AGCUCUGUAGCUCAGUGGUUAGAGCACUCGCUUUGAAAGCGAAACACCUGGGUUCAAUUCCCGGCAGGGUGA
RNAcentral lists this transfer RNA (72 nucleotides) under Callorhinchus milii (elephant shark). RNAcentral's name for it is "tRNA-Ser (TGA) (tRNA-Ser-TGA-19-1)". It matches the Rfam family "tRNA". Rfam says of the family: Transfer RNA (tRNA) molecules are approximately 80 nucleotides in length. Their secondary structure includes four short double-helical elements and three loops (D, anti-codon, and T loops). Further hydrogen bonds mediate the characteristic L-shaped molecular structure. tRNAs have two regions of fundamental functional importance: the anti-codon, which is responsible for specific mRNA codon recognition, and the 3' end, to which the tRNAs corresponding amino acid is attached (by aminoacyl-tRNA synthetases). tRNAs cope with the degeneracy of the genetic code in two manners: having more than one tRNA (with a specific anti-codon) for a particular amino acid; and 'wobble' base-pairing, i.e. permitting non-standard base-pairing at the 3rd anti-codon position. Lineage: Eukaryota; Metazoa; Chordata; Chondrichthyes; Chimaeriformes; Callorhinchidae. The record is from Rfam by way of RNAcentral.